RNAcentral lists this ribosomal RNA (301 nucleotides) under uncultured Planctomycetota bacterium. Its description in RNAcentral is "bacterial SSU rRNA". It matches the Rfam family "Bacterial small subunit ribosomal RNA", at positions 29 to 351 of the family's 1533-position model. Lineage: Bacteria; Pseudomonadati; Planctomycetota. The record is from RNAcentral.
AAUGAACGUUGGCGGCGUGGAUUAGGCAUGCAAGUCGUGCGGGAGUAGCAAUACUCUAGCGGCGAAAGGGAUAGUAACACGUAGAUCACCUACCCUUGGGUUCGGGAUAGCUACGGGAAACUGUAGGUAAUACCGAAUAACGUCUCCGGACCAAAGGUGUGAUUCCACCUGAGGAGGGGUCUGCGUCCUAUUAGCUAGUUGGUAGGGUAAUGGCCUACCAAGGCCAAGAUGGGUAGCGGGUGUGAGAGCACGACCCGCAUCACUGGGACUGAGACACUGCCCAGACACCUACGGGAGGCAG